This is a long non-coding RNA of Camelina sativa (false flax), 629 nucleotides long. RefSeq lists it as uncharacterized. Lineage: Eukaryota; Viridiplantae; Streptophyta; Magnoliopsida; Brassicales; Brassicaceae. The record is from RefSeq and is a predicted model, not a curated record.
CUUUCUUUCUUUCAUCUCUCUGUCUCUCUCGAUGGAAGUCCAAAAUUGACGAAGGAUUGAGAUGGAUUUGAUUUUGGAGUCGAUUGAAGCAAUUGGAAUCGGAAGAUCGUUGAUCGAGCAGACAACUCUUCGCUUAUCUCUCUUGUUAAGAGUUUUGACUCUGUUCUUGAAGUCUAUGAAGGUUUCUGCAAUUUGAAACAUAUUACUGUCUGAUGAUUUUGAGCCACAGGUUCUUUAUAAUAUAUUUUCUGGUAUGAUCUACGGUUUGGAAAGCAUAUAGCAUGACAUUACAGUCUCUCUUGGGUUUCGCUCAGUACCAUGACUGACUUGAGAUUUUAGAGGAUAAAACUCUCAGUGACAACAGGAGAAGAAAGCUUUAGAGGUUCCAUCUCUUGGUAAUAUUGUUUCUUUCUGAAGCUUUUCACAUUAAAUUUUCUGCCUGAGUUUUAACUGCAGAAGCACCCGUAACCUUAAGUAAAUAUGGAGGCGUGAGAGAAGUGGGAUAAACCCAAAGUUCAAGAGAGCCUUACGGAAUUGACGUUGUUCACCUCACAUUCUCUCAUAGUUUAAACAAAAAAUUAUGAUUGUUAUAUAUUUGGGAAGAAUGUAACAACCAAAAUAAGGAUAUU